AGGACGAACGCUGGCGGCGUGCUUAACACAUGCAAGUCGAGCGGUAAGGCCUUUCGGGGUACACGAGCGGCGAACGGGUGAGUAACACGUGGGUGAUCUGCCCUGCACUUCGGGAUAAGCCUGGGAAACUGGGUCUAAUACCGGAUAUGACCUCCUAUCGCAUGGUGGGUGGUGGAAAGAUUUAUCGGUGCAGGAUGGGCCCGCGGCCUAUCAGCUUGUUGGUGGGUAAUGGCCUACCAAGACGACGACGGGUAGCCGGCCUGAGAGGGUGACCGGCACACUGGGACUGAGACACGGCCCAGACUCCUACGGGAGCAGCAGGUGGGAAUAUGCACAAUGGGCGCAAGCCUGAUGCAGCAACGCCGCGUGAGGACGACGGCCGUCGGGCUAGGUAAACCUCGUUUAGCGAGGAAGAAGACGAAGUGACGGUACUGACAAGAAAAGCACCGGACUAACGUACGUCGACCAGACACG
This 474-nucleotide ribosomal RNA is filed under the name uncultured soil bacterium. RNAcentral's name for it is "bacterial SSU rRNA". It matches the Rfam family "Bacterial small subunit ribosomal RNA", at positions 26 to 519 of the family's 1533-position model. The record is from RNAcentral.